This 301-nucleotide ribosomal RNA is filed under the name uncultured bacterium. Its description in RNAcentral is "partial 16S ribosomal RNA". It matches the Rfam family "Bacterial small subunit ribosomal RNA", at positions 509 to 807 of the family's 1533-position model. The record is from RNAcentral.
CAGCAGCCGCGGGAAUACGUAGGUGGCAAGCGUUGUCCGGAAUUAUUGGGCGUAAAGGGCUCGCAGGCGGUUUCUUAAGUCUGAUGUGAAAGCCCCCGGCUCAACCGGGGAGGGUCAUUGGAAACUGGGAAACUUGAGCGCAGAAGAGGAGAGUGGAAUUCCACGUGUAGCGGUGAAAUGCGUAGAGGUGUGGAGGAACGCCAGUGGCGAAGGCGACUCUCUGGUCUGUAACUGACGCUGAGGAGCGAAAGCGUGGGGAGCGAACAGGAUUAGAUACCCCAGUAGUCCCUGUCUCUUAUAC